CUGAUUGGGAUUAAAUUAUGCAAAAAAGAGUAAAAUAUAGGGAAGAGAGCGUGAAUUUCAAGAGAAAACGUUGAGCAUGAUAUGGAUAGUUCCCAAGGACAAAACUUUGAUCUUUUAUCCAAUUCCUUUUGUAUCUGUUUUGUGGUUUUCAAGUCAACUUUCAGCCCAGUGUUUACUUUUGGGUGAUCCGAUAUGGGGAGUAGAACUUGCGAUCUUGUUGGCCAAGUCAACCCAGCUCAGAGUUUCGAUACACAAGCUCUGCUUCGCUAUGCCUCUGCUAAUGUUAUUGGCUUCCCUGCAAAUCCUUCUCUAUUUACUAUAUCUCAGUUUGGGCAUGGCCAGUCAAAUCCCACUUUCCUCAUUGAGGUUGGCUCAGGAACCUUGCCAAAAAAAUAUGUGUUGAGAAAGAAACCCUGUGGAAAUUUACUGACAUCUGCUCAUGCUGUUGAGAGAGAGUAUGAGGUUCUACAUGCAUUAAGUACUCACUCGGUGGUCCCGGUCCCAAAGGUUUUUUCUUUGUGUACAGAUUCAAGUGUGAUUGGGACUCCG
Molecule: unclassified non-coding RNA, 549 nt
Filed under: Hevea brasiliensis (rubber tree)
Lineage: Eukaryota; Viridiplantae; Streptophyta; Magnoliopsida; Malpighiales; Euphorbiaceae
Source: RNAcentral